This is a long non-coding RNA of Juglans microcarpa x Juglans regia, 175 nucleotides long. RefSeq lists it as uncharacterized. The transcript has 4 exons. NCBI's taxonomy places the organism in Eukaryota, Viridiplantae, Streptophyta, Magnoliopsida, Fagales, Juglandaceae. The record is from RefSeq and is a predicted model, not a curated record.
UCGUCUCUUGAACAAGGUCACUUUCUCUUUCACUAGAGAUUUCUGUGAAUAUUUUUGGACGUGAAUUUGCAGUGACCCAUUCGAAGCGGUUUGGAGUUUUGGGAUUUGUUUUUCUCUUGGGGUGGUGUUACUAUUAGAGUUCCGGCUCAAGGUGUUGAUAAUACGAAGAAGUCAG